AGACAUGAGACUGUAUUACGAAGCAGCAUGUCUGUGUUGGAUAAAAGAAUGGGUAAAGCUGGAGAAUAAAGAACUACUAGAUUUGGAAGGGCACAAUAAUAGAUUUGGGUGGCAUGCGUAUCUAUGGAGGGAUAAAAAGAGAGUGCAUAAAGAAUUUUGUAGCCACAUCUUUAAAGGUCCACUAAUAGAGGUCUGGGACAGAUAUAAAAAUAUAUUAGAACCGAAAACCCCACAUUGGCUAUCCCCGUUGGAGAUAAUAAGUGUAAAGAAAGUUAAUAUGAGAGAAAAGUGGGGAAAGUAUGGAGAAAUGGUUACUAAUGAAGGAGGGAAGUGGAAAGUAAAAUCAUACGAUCAGGUUAAAGUAUUUACAUAUGACUGGCUGCACUAUUUUCAGAUAAAUGAAAUGUUUAAAGAAGAGGUGAAGGAAAGGGGUUACGAGGAAAAGGAAUCGGAAUUUCAAAAAGAGAUAAUAAACAACGAAUAUAAAAACCUGUCAAAAAUGUAUAAAAUAUUGUUAGAGUGGAACACGAAGGAUGAGGAAGUAAAAUCUGUCAUGAUACAAUGGGCAAGGGAUUUCGGCUAUAACAUUCAACUAGAGGAUUGGGAAAAGUUAUGGAGAGUGAACAUAAAAUUUACGGCAUGCACGUUACUGAGAGAAAAUGUGAUGAAGAUGCUUUACAGGUGGUAUAUGACACCUGUAAAACUGGCUAAGAUGUAUAAGGCAGAUAACAAAUGCUGGAAAUGUAAACAAAAGGAAGGGACUUUCUAUCAUCAAUGGUGGGAGUGUAAGAAAGUUAAAAGCUUCUGGGAUGAAAUUUACAACGAAAUGAAAAAGAUGUUAAGUUACACUUUUGUAAAAAAGCCAGAAGCCUUUUUAUUAGGCAUUGUGGGAAAGGAUAUCAAAAGGAAGGAUUGCAAACUCUUCCAGUAUGCGGUAACGGCAGCCAGAAUUGUGAUAGCUCAGAAGUGGAAGCAGGAAGAAAUCCCAACGAUAGCAGAGUGGAGAGUAAAACUGACAGAAUACGCUGAGUUGGAUAAAUUAACAGGGAAAAUCAGAUAUACUAAGGAUCAAAAGUUUAUUGAGGACUGGGGGAAAUUUGUGGGUUAUCUGGAGAAUAAAUGUUUUGUAAAUACAACGCUAGUGGGAUUUAAAGAGGCACUGUAAAGAAUUAAUAAGUAUUGUUUAAUAGAAAUAAUGUAUGAAGGAAGGAACGAAUGGCAAUAUGAAAGAAUGGAAUGUGUUUUAAAGAUAUAAAUACGAAUGAAUGUCAAUGACGCUGAAGGAAGUUCAAAAUGUAUGAGAUAUAUUGAAAUAUGGAUAUACUGUUUAAAAAAUGGGAAAUCAAUAAAAUUUUUGAAAU
Podarcis lilfordi (Lilford's wall lizard) is the source of this 1361-nucleotide non-coding RNA. The record is from the annotation of a GenBank genome assembly. Lineage: Eukaryota; Metazoa; Chordata; Lepidosauria; Squamata; Lacertidae.